UUUUGGCCCUUUUAGAAUAGAUUCAUUGUUGAUUUCGUAUCCCCUUGAGCUUGAACUUUGAAAUCGACGAAGAUGUGAGAGUUCAGUUAGUAGCUGGCACGGCUACAUUGUGCAUUAACUUCUGCUGGAACGCAUGACAGAAUAAGGCAGCCGAAUUCAAAGGUCCGAGGCUUCGGCGAGGGAUCACUUUUCCUUCAUUCACUAAUAUGAUGAAGAAAUCACAUCACUAAAGAUUUUGAUUUAAUCGGCGACAGCGGUAGCUAUUUCACGUGUUUCUUUGAUUGAAUUGGAGAAGUUCCAAAGACGAUUAGCUCGGCGAAUUACCGGAGUCUUCUACACUGCGUGGGUGGAAGCUGCAUUGAGAAUGGUAAUGCCUGCUGGAAGAUAAAUAGCUAGUGGCUUUGGGAGAUGGACUUCAGGAACUAAGAUCGUUGCUGGGAUUACGAUGCAGUAGAAGAAAAAGCUCCAGAAGUCAAGUCACUGAGAGGGUGAUUGAUAGCAUGUAGAGUGAGAUAAUGAGGAGUACAGGUUGAAGACUUGUGGAUUGGGGGAAGAAGAAGAAUAUGGGCAGAAUUACUAGGGAAUUGGUUGUUCUGUUUAACUAGGAGAGUUUUCAAUUGUUACUUGCAUUACUAGAGAUUCCAUAGUUAAUUUCAACUCUAGCAUUUCCUGAUUCACUUCUUUUAGGGCCUAUAAACUAUGCCUCAAUCCUCAUUGAAACAGCAUUUUUGUAUUUUUUAUAUUAAUCAGCUUUGAUCUUCUUUUGUA
Molecule: long non-coding RNA, 768 nt
Organism: Sesamum indicum (sesame)
Lineage: Eukaryota; Viridiplantae; Streptophyta; Magnoliopsida; Lamiales; Pedaliaceae
Source: RefSeq, a predicted model, not a curated record